CAAAUGCAUCACACCCGAACGCAAUUUCACUCUCACCUCAAACCUUACCACUAUUUUCCCCUCACAGCUGCCUCGCCCGAAAUGCAAAAAACCUCUCACGAAUCAUCUCAUGUGAGGAGAUCUAAGGCUACAAGAUUGAAGCCCACCGUACGCAGCAGAAUCGGCUGUCGCUGAGUCCUUCUUCUCCGGCAAAAUCUCCGACUGUAGGGGUUCCAGCCUCGACUCGAUUUCGACAAAUUUCAGUUUCGCCUCUCCACUUGCCGAUCAUUUGCAGGACCCUGAAGGUGCGUUUCUUAUACUUUAUGUGAUAGAAGCAAUUAUAUAAAUAUUAAUAUUUUUUGCAUAUCAUAGCUUGAUGCGUUGAUUUGGCUCGUUGAAUCCGAAGGGUCAGAGGAGAGCUCUUAAAAAGCAGCUGGAGAAAAACUACAACAAAAUAAAGUUGUUCAUGACCUUGUAUCAAGAUUGUUCCUUUCGUAGUUUCCAUGCCUCAAGUAAGGGUGGAGGGGUGGCGUGGGGAGGGGAAAGUGGGAGAAAGUGAUGAUUAAAGUAUUAUUGUGAUCUUCGAUUUUGGGGUUUUUGAUUUUGUUCGGUAAUUUUUCACAGAAAAUUGAAUGAUGAAGAUCACUUUUUUCCAAAAUAGACUAUAGAUCUCGUGAUAUUGGUGUUGAAUUUUGAAAAGACUAUAGUUCAACCCAAACAACACCUAGAGGGGAGGGGGUGAAUAGGUGUUUAUACGGAUUUUAACAAUUCAAUCAACUUAUGCAACAAGUCACAUAAAUUAAACUUUGUCCAGAUUCAUUCACAUGAUUUAACUACCUAUGUUGAAUUUCCAAUUGAAUUAAAAAUGACAGAAAGCAAUAAAUAACUC
This 868-nucleotide long non-coding RNA is filed under the name Olea europaea subsp. europaea. Lineage: Eukaryota; Viridiplantae; Streptophyta; Magnoliopsida; Lamiales; Oleaceae. The record is from RNAcentral.